Molecule: ribosomal RNA, 722 nt
Filed under: bacterium EAB-2EF28.02
Lineage: Bacteria
Description: bacterial SSU rRNA
Rfam family: Bacterial small subunit ribosomal RNA
Source: RNAcentral
UGCUCAGGACGAACGCUGGCGGCGUGCUUAACACAUGCAAGUCGAACGAUGAAGCCCUUCGGGGUGGAUUAGUGGCGAACGGGUGAGUAACACGUGGGCAAUCUGCCCUUCACUCUGGGACAAGCCCUGGAAACGGGGUCUAAUACCGGAUAACACCGGCUUCCGCAUGGGAGCUGGUUGAAAGCUCCGGCGGUGAAGGAUGAGCCCGCGGCCUAUCAGCUUGUUGGUGGGGUAAUGGCCUACCAAGGCGACGACGGGUAGCCGGCCUGAGAGGGCGACCGGCCACACUGGGACUGAGACACGGCCCAGACUCCUACGGGAGGCAGCAGUGGGGAAUAUUGCACAAUGGGCGAAAGCCUGAUGCAGCGACGCCGCGUGAGGGAUGACGGCCUUCGGGUUGUAAACCUCUUUCAGCAGGGAAGAAGCGAAAGUGACGGUACCUGCAGAAGAAGCGCCGGCUAACUACGUGCCAGCAGCCGCGGUAAUACGUAGGGCGCAAGCGUUGUCCGGAAUUAUUGGGCGUAAAGAGCUCGUAGGCGGCUUGUCACGUCGGGUGUGAAAGCCCGGGGCUUAACCCCGGGUCUGCAUCCGAUACGGGCAGGCUAGAGUGUGGUAGGGGAGAUCGGAAUUCCUGGUGUAGCGGUGAAAUGCGCAGAUAUCAGGAGGAACCACCCGGUGGCGAAGGCGGAUCUUCUGGGCCAUUACUACGCUAGAGCAAAGCG